CCUGUUGACUCCUCCCCUUCGUCGGUACACCUCCACCUGUCUGAUCAGAGACAGCUGAUCUAUGUUUACACCUGCACACAGGUGAAGGUGUGGACGCAGGAAGGGGCGGAGCUCUUCAGCAGCGGUGAGGACGGCUCCGUGGUUCUGGGACUUCUGGAGGAAUCUGUAUGUUCUCUGACGGACGGGGGUCUGGUCAGAAUAUUUCAUCCUGUGAACGACGCUGUGGAGACUCAGCUGGAAAACUGUCUGACACGUUUGAGUCUGGUGAAAACGGCCGUUUCACCGAAACGUGGGACGCUGUUUGUGGCCACGAGAGACGGCGUCCUCCAUCAGAUUUCCAGGACUGGAAAACACUCGGCUGUCGAGUUUCCUCUGGUUCCUUCGUUACUUUCUGUUACUGAAGAUGAGAAAAUACUG
Paralichthys olivaceus (Japanese flounder) is the source of this 417-nucleotide non-coding RNA. The record is from RefSeq and is a predicted model, not a curated record. NCBI's taxonomy places the organism in Eukaryota, Metazoa, Chordata, Actinopteri, Pleuronectiformes, Paralichthyidae.